CCGUGAUAUUCAAUUUCAAACAACUAUUUGUCAAAUGUUAUCCUGGUUGCUUCAAGUUCAACAUACAUGAUUUUAGUGUUAAGUAUGUUCAUGUGCCAAAGCAAAACUUUAGGUAUGAUUCUGGAAUUUUUGUGAUCCAAUAUAUGAGAUGCUACAAUGGAGUUGAAGUACAACAAUUCUCAAAUGUUGACUUGCAAGCAAUUCGUGAAAAAGUCUCAUGCCAGUUAGUGAUAAACAAAUUUAAUGAGCAACAGGUGCCAAUAGCACGAGAAUUCAUUUCGAAGCAUGCUCCACAUCUUCUUCAUUGAUUAAGUUAGCAAUUUAUUUUCAAGGAGACGAGAUGAUGUAUUGAAAUUGUUGACUUGCAAGCAAUUCGUGAAAAAGUCUCAUGCCAGCUAGUGAUAAACAAAUUUAAUGAGCAACAGGUGCCAAUAGCACGAGAAUUCAUUUCGAAGCAUGCUCCACAUCUUCUUCAUUGAUUAAGUUAGCUAUUUAUUUUCAAGGAGACAGAUGAUGUAUUGAAAUUCUUUCCAGAGAAGCAUGCAGAUGAUCAUCUUUGUCAAGUUACAAGCACCGAUAUGUUCCUUUGCGAGAGGUUCUCACCAUUUGAGUUUUCAUAUAUAUCGGAUGAACAAAUUUUGAC
This is a long non-coding RNA of Lolium rigidum, 643 nucleotides long. RefSeq lists it as uncharacterized. The record is from RefSeq and is a predicted model, not a curated record. Lineage: Eukaryota; Viridiplantae; Streptophyta; Magnoliopsida; Poales; Poaceae. The transcript has 7 exons.